RNAcentral lists this long non-coding RNA (490 nucleotides) under Equus caballus (horse). RNAcentral's name for it is "lncRNA (ENSECAG00000044800.1)". The record is from RNAcentral. Lineage: Eukaryota; Metazoa; Chordata; Mammalia; Perissodactyla; Equidae.
AGAGCAAAUGCCUGGUCUUCUAGUACCCCCAAGGCAGCCAACUAGAAGUCCUUCCCCUCCUCAGAAACCCUGGCCCUUAGCUUUCAUGUUGCCUUUUCUCCACUUAUCACUUUCUGGGUAGUGACCUUGUGGGGAACAAAGUCUGCAUUUUUCUGCAAGAGACCUGAGCCAGGGUCCUCACACCUGCAGCUGGAGUUGGCUGGGAGUCAGCUUUGGAGCCAAUCUCACUCACAGGAUGCCUCCCAUCUACACUGUCACUCAAUAAGGGUCUCAGUUUUAAAAUAUAAAGAACAUAUUUUCUGGAUCCUUGAGAAAUUUUUUUCAAGCAGAGGACCUCCAAUUAUGGUACCAAUAGUCACAAGGAGGCAUAUUGGUGUUGUUCUGCCUGAUGCUGCUCUGCCGUUGGGAAUACAGCAUGGUGGGUGCCUCUAGAACCCAGCCUUCCCGAUACAACUGCCCACCAGCGCUUCUCUGCUCCUUUUGUUAUGCC